ACUACUGAAUAGUUAUAUUUCUAUUUUAUGGUCACACGCUUGUUUAUACGUGCACUUGUUUAUACGUGCGCUUGUUUAUACAUGCACUUGCUUAUACGUACGCUUGAUUAUACGUUCACUUGUUUAUACAUAACCUCGCAACCAGUGAAUGCACAGGUUAAUACUAUUUUUAAUAUAUGUUGUGAUAUUUUAUUAUAAAAAUAAUCGUCCACUCACUUUUUGUAUAAUUAAAACGAAGAGAAAGCAUUUAUAUACAUUAAAAAAAAAAAAAGUUUUCGAAAAAAUGGAUAAUAUAAUUAAACAGAACAAUGCUAACAUUUUAGAUAGGAAUGUAGAAAAUGCUGUAAUAAAUAAAAACAACAUUAAUAAUAAUUUCCAUUUAUCCAUAGAUAAAUAUUCUAAACGUACGACGGAAGCACGAACUGGUAUUAAACUAUUAAGAAGCAAUGUUUUAAGUAUUUUUAGUUACUCUUUAAAAUAUAUGAAUAAAAAAAGUUUAAAUAAAUGGCUUAAAAGUAAUAUUAAGGCACCGUUUUAUGACACAUAUGUGCCCCAUAACAAACCACUAGCAUAUAUACGAUUUAAAACACAUGAUGAAAUGAAAAAUUUUGAAAAAUUAAUCGAAAAUAAACGUUUCUAUCCGAAUGAUAAUUUAUCAAUUAUUAAAAUUAACAAAUCUUCCAAAUACAUGCAAAAAAGGAAACUGAAUGAACAUAGUAAGUUGAAGAAAGUAAUAAAUAAUACUAAAGUCGAAAAUAUUGAAGGUAAUAAUGCUACUAACAAUGAUGAAAAUAAUUAUAAUAAAAACAGUAACAAUAGUGAAAAGCAUACUAUUAUAUACGAAAAUAAGAAAAGAAAACGAGAAGCCUUAAAUGGUCGUCUUACCUUUAAACAAACAAAAACAAACCAUGAAAUACUACCAGACUUAAAAUCUAUCAUAGAAAUUAAUAAAAACGAAAAAAACAAAACUAUCGAAAAUUAUGUAACUCCACUUUAUAAAUAUAAUUAUGCUGAUCAAAUUAAAAUAAAGAAUACAUUUUUAGAAAAAUGCAAAAAUAAAAUUAUAAGUAAUUUAAAAGAAAAGUAUAUGAAACAAAGUUUACUUUUUAGCAAUGAAAUAUCAGGAGAUAUUUUUUCCAAUUCGAAUACAACAAAUAACAACAGCUCAAAUAAAAAAAGUACUUAUUUACGUCCUUCUAACAGUAACAAUACUACGCUUACUACUCUUUCUAACGAUAGUAGUAAUCUCAGUAAUGACAACGAAGGUAAUAUAAAACAAGAAAAUAACAACGAAAGCCCUUUGGAUAAACAGAUAAAACGAUACGAAAUAGAACUUGACCCACCUUUAUAUUCUGACGAAAAUAAUGUUACUGGAUAUAGAAAUAAAUGUGAAUUUACUAUUGCUCGUGAUGAAAAUAAUGACAUAGAAAUAGGUUUUGUUGUAGGUAAAUUUAAAAAUAACGUAAAUGAAACUAGCGAUUAUACUAGUUGCAAUUUCAGCGAAAAUAAUAUAAGUAAUAACCCUUCCCCCAUAAAUGAAUCACAUCAAACUAGACUUAGGAAUAAAAAACAACAACAGGCAUAUUAUCUAAAUCCUAUUGUUAAAAAAGUUGAUGCUUGUAUUCAUAUCC
This 1631-nucleotide long non-coding RNA is filed under the name Piliocolobus tephrosceles (Ugandan red Colobus). RNAcentral's name for it is "lncRNA (ENSPTEG00000014761.1)". Lineage: Eukaryota; Metazoa; Chordata; Mammalia; Primates; Cercopithecidae. The record is from RNAcentral.